Mya arenaria is the source of this 4177-nucleotide long non-coding RNA. RefSeq lists it as uncharacterized. NCBI's taxonomy places the organism in Eukaryota, Metazoa, Mollusca, Bivalvia, Myida, Myidae. The record is from RefSeq and is a predicted model, not a curated record. The transcript has 4 exons.
UACACCACAGCGAACAAAAUUGCUGGUUUGUAAAACCUUGGAAGAGGCUUUAAGGAAAAUCCAGGAGCUGGAAAUGCAAGAUAAUUUGUGCCUGACUCUAGUACGAAGAAUUUUGGGAAGACGAUUUGGCUUAAAAAGACCUGUAGCAGUUAACAAGCUAUUAGAUGCACAAUAGCACAAAAUGACCACCACCACUAUCACCCUAAAGUGUGUGCUUGGUGUCUGUCUACACGUGCUUGCUUCUAGAAUGUUGAAGAACAAACUGUGUUGAAACGCCAACUGGAGUUGGUCAUGGACCUUUGCCGCCCUUCAUCCAGAGCCUUCCACAGAGAUGGCAGAUAUAUCGCUGCCUGGACCAACAGUUGACCAUGCCGUUGAGUCCAUGAUAUCAGUAGCAGCCAUGAAAACAUCUACAGAAUUACAUCUGCGGCCGUGGCUAUUAAUGGAUACAUUCUGCACCACUUCCAUGUGCUGUCAGUUUGAAACGUCUCUACUCUGACAGAAGGAAGGGAAUGAAUACCCAGGAUUGUUCCUCAGGAAAAUCUCUUCAACAGGCUGUUGUCAGUUUGCAUGCUCUUUGGAUGGGAUUACCCUACCUUGGCUUGCAGAGAAUCUGUGAUAUAAAAGACCUCUUUUGUGCUGCAUUGUGUCAUUGAUUUAUUGUAUUUUAUAUGUAUUAUGCCACUAUUGUAAAAACAAAUGGGCAUAUGUUUUAGCGUAUGUUUUCAAACAGACACAUUUAUAUUUCAAACAGACACAUUUAUAUUUUGGAAUAAUUUGAAAAUACAUUUUGUAGGUUGACUUCAAUCCAUGAAACAUUAAUGGUAGGUUAUAUUUGACCAGAACAUGACAAGUAUUGUUUUCGGAGUUUUUUGGUCGAAGGUGAAGGUAAUGGCUAACAGUGGUUAUUCUGCACAAUGAACCUUGAAUUCUUUGACCUAGGACCAUUAAUAUUUAGUGAUUGAUAUAUCAGUCCAACUCAUAUGUGAAAGGGACAUGAUGAAAUUGAGCAAGAGCUUAUUAGCAUUGCAAAUUAUUAUUUGUUCAUUUUUAGCUCGACUAUUCGAAGAAUAGGUGGGCUAUACUAUCAUUAACAAUUCUGCGUUAAAGUUUUCAUUUUAUGUAAUAAAAUCAAGAGUUUUUAUCCAAUGGUAAUCAAACUUGGUCAGACUAUUUGUCGGCAUGUUAUCUUAAAGAUGUAUGAAUAUGGGUCAUCCCUGGUCAAAUUCUAGGUCACUAGGUCACAUCUUAGAGAAAAUAUUUCCAUGUCAUAAAUUCAACAUUUUUUUCAUAUCUUUAUGAAACUUGGUCAGAAUAUUUGUCUGCAUACUAUCUUGAAAGUUUUUUAAUAUGGGUCAUCCCGGGUCAAAUUCUAGGUCACUAGGUCAAAUCUUAGGAAAAUCAUUCCACAUCAUAAAUUGAACAAUUUUUGUCAAAUCUUUAUGAAACUUGGUCAGAAUAUUUGUCUGCAUAAUAUCUUAAAAGUUCUAUAAUAUGGGUCAUCCCCGGUCAAAACCUAGGUCACAAGGUCAAAUUUUAGAAGAAAGAAUCCCACAGUCAUAAAAAUUCAUUAAUUUUAGUCAAAUCUUUUUUUAAACUUGGUCAGAAUAUUUGUCUACAUGUUGUCUUAAUCAUUUGUGAAUAUAGGUCACCUCAGAUCAAAAACUAGGUCACUAGGUCAAAUCUUAGGAAACACUUUCCUGAUGUCAUAAAAAAAAUCCAUGCUUACCAAAGCUAUCCAUAUCAGUUAAUAACUAAAUUCAAUUGUUAUUUUAUAAACACACAUCCCAAUCAUGAAUUUCAGAUCUAACCAUAUUUUUCAAAAAUUUAAAUUUUAAUUAACUUUAAAAAUAUUUGGAAAAGCUGAUGUAUUUAUAAAAUGUUCGUUUUUCCUCACACAAAUGGAAUAGUUUCUGUUGAUCAGGUUAUUUGUAUGAAUGAUAUCUCUGAUAAAUAUAAAUAUGGGUCUUUUUGGUUAAAAAUACUAGGUCAUUAGCUCAAAUCCUAGGUUUGCAAAAUUGCAUUGUCAAAUAAAAAAUCAAGCUUUAUGCGGCGUUGCCGCGUUGGCGUCUUGUUAUUUUUUUUAUUUUGACAGGCACAUUUUUAUAAUCUUAACCAAAUCAAACCUUGUUUUGUCACAUUGUGAUUCUUAUUCACUUUUUUUAUUUGAUUGUUUUAUUGCUUUUUACAGGCACAUCACACUAUUAUUGUAUUUACGUCCAAUUCCAAGAGGCGUAGUAGAGCGCACUGUUUUACGACAGCUCUUUUUAACCUGUAAAGUGAAACCUGGUUAUAAAAAUGACAUGACUGUGUCAUUGUGUUGGCAGGCCAGGAGGAGGGCAGCAUCAAAUACAUCUACAAACUUAGUAUACAAAGUAUUAUAGAAUUGCUUUCGGGGCCCAUAGGAUCAAGGUCACUAAAACAAAAAAAUAUUGAAACUUAAUCGCACAACAAAGGCUUAAUUAAUUAGGUUUGUCUGUCAAUCAUUAAAAACUUGUUGUUUUUUUUGCAUUGCAGCAUUUCAUGCUUAAUUUUUAUUUUGUCUCUUUAUUGCAUAUUACCUUUAUCAUUAUUGUAUUCAUUUCUAAGACAAAGCAGCAUAUAGUUGAGGGCACUGCCCCAUGACAGCUCUUGUAUAUCCUAAAAAGAAUACAAUAGUGAUAUACCCUGAUAUAGGUAGUUUUGGUACAUUAUCACGGUUUUAAUUUUAGCUUUACUGGCCAAAGAUCAGAAUAUCUGAUGUGAUGGUAAUGUGUACGUAGUAUGUGCUUCCUAGCGCCUGUAAACAAUUGCUUGUGAACACCAUACAGUCUUUAGUUAUGAUUGUAUCUCAAUAAAACAGUAUUUAGAUAUCCAAUAGCUCGGUUCCUUUCGAAAACCAGUCAGAUCUGCCCAUGCAUGCCUAGAUUAUAGGCCUUGAACGUCUGCGACUGUAAACAAUUGCUUGUGAACAUGGUACAGUCUUCAGUUUUAAUUGUAUAUAGAUGAAACUUGUACAGUAUUAAGAUAUCAAUUAGAGCUUGGUUCCUUUCGAAAACCAGAUCUGCCCAUGCAUACCUUAAUUAUGGGCCUCAAAAGUAAAAAAAAAUGCUAUUUUUAGCCAAGUCUACAUGAGCGAAGUCUAUUUUUAGACAAGUUUACAUGUAAAGUCACAAAUUCAUGUGAAAAAUUGUUCAAAUUAGGCCCCUGGGGUCAUUAUUGGCCACGCCACUGGGUUCACCGGUUUGGUAUACUAAAUUGGGAAAUGUUUGAAAAUCUUUAUGUCUGAAACAACUAUGCAGACCCUUGUUAUUUUGAAUAAGGAUUAUUUUAUUGGUCUGCUACCAUGGUUGUUCAAAUUAUGCCCCUAGGGUCAAAACUGGCACUGCCCCCAGGGGUCACAAGUUUUUUAAGAAAUAUUUUCAAAAUCUUCUUGUUUCAAACCACAAGGCUCAUAUCUUUGAUAUUUGUUGUGGAGCAUUAUAUGUAGACCGUCUAGCAAAACAGUUGAAAUUAUGUGCCCUGGGCCGGGGCCACCAUCCAUUUUGUCCUUUUAAAGCUACAAAAAUGAAAAUUUGACCAAUAGUACAGUUUUGUAGCAAAUUUUAUUCUCCUCAGAUGACCUUUACUUGGCACAUAUUAGAAUACUAGUAGUUCAUGCAACUAAUCUGCUUACAACACUUUCUGUUCUCAGAUGUUAAAUGUGCAACGUUUUAAGCUAACUCAAACACAAAACGUGAACAAUAUGUUUGUUGGCUAUUACUCAUACAUACAUGCUCUGGAUCAAAAAUAACCACAUGAGCCAUGCCACUAGAGCAUAGGCACUCAUGGGCCUCUUGUUUUUUUUAGAAAAAAAGCAUACUGACCAACCCUAUUUAUUUUAGAAGUUAGCUGAAACUAAGAACUUUUUUUACCUUACUUUUAUAUUAGAUUGUGUAUUGCUAAGAUUUUUGCUUAAAGCUCCAUUUAAGGUAACUGUUCAUCUCAAAUGUAACAGCUUUUGCCUUCAAACUUUUAAAAUUUCAUUGAACCAGUGGGUUCAUCAUGAUGCACAUCUGUAAAUGUUUCUCCCUAAUAUGGGCUUUUAUGUAUGCAAACAGAACAUUGAACAAUUGGCUUUCUGUGUAAAGUAAACCCUGUCCAGAACAUUUGUCAAAUUGCUGUGUCAGAACUUGUUUGAAUGGAUUUAUUUUAUUUU